CUCCAAAGUUAUAUCAAACCCCUCAUCCUUUUCACUACUAAUAGCAACUUUGGGUGUCUUCUCAGAUUGACCGCAAUGACCAUUCUCAUUUGAUAUACCUAAAGUUCCAUCCCCAUCAGAUGUUUGGUUUGAAAAACUCUCAGUUUCUUGUUUCAUCUGAGCCUCAUUUCCACUACGUCUUUCUAGCUCUUCAAGUCUAUUUCCUUUUCCGUACUCAUCAGAAACCAUUCUAAAUUUUCCUUUACUUUGAUCUUUUACACAUGCCUCGUUUUCCC
Molecule: long non-coding RNA, 275 nt
Filed under: Medicago truncatula (barrel medic)
Lineage: Eukaryota; Viridiplantae; Streptophyta; Magnoliopsida; Fabales; Fabaceae
Description: lncRNA gene48471
Source: RNAcentral